CAAAAACAUCGCCUCCCGCAGAACCUAUAUGGGAGGUCUUACCUGCCCAGUGACUAUAUGUUAAACGGCCGCGGUAUUUUGACCGUGCAAAGGUAGCGCAAUCACUUGUCUUUUAAAUGAAGACCCGUAUGAAUGGUGAAACGAGGGCUUAACUGUCUCCCUUUUCCAGUCAAUGAAAUUGAUCUACCCGUGCAGAAGCGGGUCUAAUAAUACAAGACGAGAAGACCCUUUGGAGCUUAAGAUAAAGACCAAUUAUGUCAAUAAUCAAAAAACACUAAACCAAGUAAUUCUGGUCUACAUCUUCGGUUGGGGCGACCACGGGAGAAAACAAAGCUCCCAUGUGGAUGAGGGUAUAAACCUAAAGCCAAGAAAGACAUCUCUAAGACACAGAACAUCUGACCAAAUUGAUCCGGCAAACAUGCCGACCAACGAACCAAGUUACCCUAGGGAUAACAGCGCAAUCCCCUUUCAGAGUCCAUAUCGACAAGGGGGUUUACGACCUCGAUGUUGGAUCAGGACAUCCUAAUGGUGCAGCCGCUAUUAAGGGUUC
This 550-nucleotide ribosomal RNA is filed under the name Limatulichthys griseus. RNAcentral describes it as "partial 16S ribosomal RNA". It matches the Rfam family "Bacterial large subunit ribosomal RNA", at positions 1808 to 2574 of the family's 2925-position model. Lineage: Eukaryota; Metazoa; Chordata; Actinopteri; Siluriformes; Loricariidae. The record is from RNAcentral.